GUGAGUCAUCGAAUCUUUGAACGCACAUUGCGCCCUUCGGUAUUCCGUUGGGCAUGCCUGUUCGAGCGUCAUUAGAAACUUCAAGCUCAGCUUGGUGUUGGGUGCUUGUCCCCGCCCGCGGCGGACUCACCUCAAAUGCAUUGGCGGCCGGUAUGUUGGCUACAGCGCAGUACAACGCGUCUGGCGUCUUGAUAUACUGGUCCUCCAGAAGUCCUUCUUUGACUUGACCUCGGAUCAGGUAGGGAUACCCGCUGAACUUAAGCAUAUCAAUAAGCGGAGGA
This 281-nucleotide unclassified non-coding RNA is filed under the name Pleosporales sp. RNAcentral's name for it is "partial contains 5.8S ribosomal RNA, internal transcribed spacer 2, and large subunit ribosomal RNA". The stretch from base 1 to 71 matches the Rfam family "5.8S ribosomal RNA", at positions 84 to 154 of the family's 154-position model. Lineage: Eukaryota; Fungi; Ascomycota; Dothideomycetes; Pleosporales. The record is from RNAcentral.